CCUACGGGUGGCAGCAGUGAGGAAUAUUGGUCAAUGGGCGCUAGCCUGAACCAGCCAAGUAGCGUGAAGGAUGACUGCCCUAUGGGUUGUAAACUUCUUUUAUAUGGGAAUAAAGUGCAGGAUGGAUACCGCUUUGCAUGUACCUUAUGAAUAAGGAUCGGCUAACUCCGUGCCAGCAGCCGCGGUAAUACGGAGGAUCCGAGCGUUAUCCGGAUUUAUUGGGUUUAAAGGGAGCGUAGGUGGAUUGUUAAGUCAGUUGUGAAAGUUUGCGGCUCAACCGUAAAAUUGUAGUUGAAACUGGCAGUCUUGAGUACAGUAGAGGUGGGCGGAAUUCGUGGUGUAGCGGUGAAAUGCUUAGAUAUCACGAAGAACUCCGAUUGCGAAGGCAGUUCACUGGACUGCAACUGACACUGAGGCUCGAAAGUGUGGGUAUCAAACAGGAUUAGAUACCCCUGUAGUC
RNAcentral lists this ribosomal RNA (460 nucleotides) under uncultured bacterium. Its description in RNAcentral is "partial 16S ribosomal RNA". It matches the Rfam family "Bacterial small subunit ribosomal RNA", at positions 338 to 795 of the family's 1533-position model. The record is from RNAcentral.